RNAcentral lists this ribosomal RNA (267 nucleotides) under Skoua fertilis. RNAcentral describes it as "partial 18S ribosomal RNA". It matches the Rfam family "Eukaryotic small subunit ribosomal RNA", at positions 1335 to 1626 of the family's 1831-position model. Lineage: Eukaryota; Fungi; Ascomycota; Leotiomycetes; Myxotrichaceae. The record is from RNAcentral.
ACGAGACCUUAACCUNCUAAAUAGCCAGGNUAGCUUUGCUGGUNGCCGGCUUCUUAGAGGGACUAUCGGNUNAAGCCGAUGGAAGUUUGAGGCAAUAACANGUCUGUGAUGCCNUUAGAUGUUCUGGGCNCACGCGCGCUACACUGACAGAGCCAACGAGUUCAUCACCUUGUCCGAAAGGUCUGGGUAAUCUUGUUAAACUCUGUNGUGCUGGGGAUAGAGCAUUGCAAUUAUUGCUCUUCAACGNNGAAUUCCUAGUAAGCGCAA